CCACACAAUGUGAUAUUAUCAAUUUAUCACUCUGCUUUCGUGAAGGGAGUUCAAACCAACUUCAAGAUUGAACCAUCUUUUGGAGUUGAAGCCUCGCAGCUUUAUCCUGAUGUCAAGUACACUACAGUUGAUGAGUACCUCAAUCAGUUUGUGUAACCCUUCUCUGUUUCCAGCUGCAGCUUGCAGGAUCUUGGACUCUUGGUAAAUAAAUAAUUGGCUUGUUGCCAUCUUUGGUUUUAUAUGUAAAAAUUAUGGUUGUUGGCCUUACUUUCUUCUGGUUGUCCAUGGAAUUUGUUAGACCAUAUUAUGUUUGCUAUGUCAGUGAUCAAAUGAAGUAGGCCAUGUACUUGAUUUGAGAGUAGUAGUUAUAAAGCCAUCAUGAUCAGGUGGGUGCGUGGGUUGGGCUUCUAUUAGGGUGCUUGUGUUGGGCUUCAGGGGCUUGUGAUAUGGCUUCGACAGCCCCUAACGGGCAGUCAUUAUAAAAAUAAUUAUAGAGUUACAAAUCUAUGUAAAAAGCAAAAAUUAAAAGUAAUUUAUCAAUAAAAAUAAUUAAAAUUAAUAAAAAGUAGGUAUGAUAUUUCAGAAAUUAAAUUAAAGAUAGUAUUCUAAAGAGUUGGAUAAUCCUCCAACUAAACUAAAGAUCUAGUACAUUUGAGAGCAAAUUUAAUUAAAGAAAAGGAUAAGGAAAAACAAUAGAAUAAUAAUAUUAAAAAUUGCAAAUCUUGGUCUUUUUUUUUUACGAUGAUGUUGAAUUCUUAUAAAUUUAAUCUUAUCUAUAGAAUUAUUUAGUUACUGUAUGUCAAAAUUUCCUAUAAAGAUGAAGAAAAAUUAUAUUAGGAGAAGAUCCAAAUCCGUUUAACUGAUGCAUCAUCAACAACAUGAGUACAACAUUUUCGAAUAAACAAAAGAAACUCGUUUUAUGUGCGAACCAGUUCCAAAAUAAAGAGCAGACUAUUGGAAGGAGACAAAUACUACAAGAAGAACAAAACAUUCUACAGUUCCUACAUGAGCCCGCAACAAUUAAUUAUUAACUCGACAUUCAUUACACUUUUUCUUUAAUUUGACAAAGAAACCAAAAAUAAGAUAAAAUUGACUAAGAAAUAAAAAAAUGACCAAAAUCUUUUUGAAGUUUUGCCAGUUCAGCCAUGCACGCUUAUCUUUAUUCACUUGUUUCCUUUCUUUCCUUUCUUUCCUUUCUUUGCUGAAGCCUUCACAGAUCCUUUACCUUUCUGAGCCUUGCCAAUUUUCCCCUUCUUCAAACCACCUGGCCUUGCUGGAUCCACGUGUCCUUGCAUCCUUUUUCAUUCGUGGAUCAACAAGAAUCUUCCCCUUUCCAGCUCUCUCUUGAACUCCUUUCUUUGGGACCAGUAUUCUUUUGUCGGCCUUUUGGGUAUAGUUGUCUUGUAUAAUUGUUCAAUUUGAUUCCUCUUCGAACGAUCAGAGAUGUCCGCUUAGUCUGAUAUGACAUUUGCCUUCUUGCGAACCUUCUCAAGAUUUCGCAUGGCAACCCGUAUCUUUCGAGCUUUGGUCUUAGCCACCUUCUUGGCAGUAUGGGUGGGCGAUUCGGUUUUGGGAUAAACUUUUGGUUUCGUAUCGGUUUAGAUUAAAAAAUAAUAUAAAAAAAUAUUUAGAUUUUAAGGGAAAAAAUCCGAACCGAGACUCACCUAUCGAUUUCGGCUCGGUUUCAGUUCAGUUUUGAUUCUCCUAAUAGUUUUAUUUUGCCUUAUUGACUUCCGGUCAAUGACACUUUUGAAAAAUUUACAAAAAAAAAAUAAAAAAUGGCCAUAACAAAAUUUCUAUAUGCAAAUAUUUCCUAAACAUUAGGCUAUACUAAAUUUUUUUAAAAGGUAGGGAUCCAAACGAUAUUAUCCCUCUACUUCAUCUUCAACCUUCGUCAUUAGGGAUGGCAAAAUCCGAGUUCGGGUCCGGGUUUAGCCAUUCGGGAUCCGGACCCGGAUGAAUAUUUUCUGUACCAGACCCGAAAAUAAACCCGCAUUUUUCCACUUCGAGUCCGGUACGGGUUCAACCCGAAAAAAUUCGGGUUCCCUGACUGCGGGUUUCCAACUCGGAUUGAUGAAUCCAAUUGAAAAAAAAAAACUAAAUUCAACUAAAAAAAUCAAAUAGAAAUACAUAUCCAGGAUUUUAGCAAAUCAAAGAAAAAUUAUUUCAUCUGGAAACUAAUUAACAAAAACAACAAUUUUGUUUGGCUGCCCAGAAUCAGCAACCCAAUGUGGCGGCUCGUUCAAAACAUUAGUGUUUUCAACAGAUUUUGGGGUAGGAAAAGCCAAACCUAUCUAGAACAAUGAAUUUGUAUUUUUGGGGGAGAUGAGGUACCUCACUGGUUUGUUGUGUGCGGUGCAGUGUAUCUUAAAUUUGGGGGAUGUGAGAAGGGGAGAGGGAGUGGUAAUAAUGGUGAAAGGUCAAAACCAAUAGAGAUGUCCUUCAAAAUGAGCUUCACACCUGUAAAACAGUGAAAUAAAGGUUAGAGGUGAAGCUGGGGUAUCCCGGUGUUCACACUCCGACGCUCAAGUUAGCAAACUCAAGCUUUUAUGACAAAGAGAACUGGCUAGCCCUCUGUAAAUUAGGGUUUAAGGUUCAAGGAAACCUAUUUUUUGGAAUGUGAGUGUUAAUGGUGAGUGAGAGACCUCUCGGAGAAUGAAACUUAUGCGCCUUUAUAUAUGGAGUACCUCAGCUGCCACGUGACGUACCCUUUUUGGCUAACGUCAUUUUUCCUUUUUAUGAUUUUUGGGUCGUUAUGUUCAUGUUCGCCGGGUAUCUCAUCUUUUAGAAACGUGGCGCGCGCUGGAGAGUGGUCCAGGGUACCUCUGCAGUAGCUGUCGGGUAGGCGGCUGAGGACCACUGUCCUUGGGACAGUGUCCUUCACUUUUGGUAAAGGUGACAUGCGGUUGUCCCCCCUUUUAACACGACAUUUUUUAUUCCUAAUUAUGACAAAAUCAAAUAAUAUCUUUUAAGAGAUGGAGACGUUUCUCAUGGUGGAUAUUUUCGGAAGAUUCUCUUGCAUCUGAUCAGCCGGGUUCCUCUAAUUACGCAGGGUACCUCAAUUUAUGUGGGGUACCUCUAAUUUUAUGGGGUACCUCUAUUUGCGCAGGGUACCUUGAAUCAUGCCAAGUACCUUAGAUUAUGCGGAGUACCUCUAAUUGUGCGGGAUACCUCUAUUGCGCUAGGUACCUUGAAUCAUGCCGGGUACCUCAGAUUGUGCGGGGUAUCUCUAUUUGCGCAGGGUACCUUGAAUCAUGCUGGGCACCUCAGAUUGUGCGGGGUACCUUGAGUCAUGCGAGGUACCUCUAAUCAGGCCAGGUACCCUCUAAUUGUGCUGAGUACCUAUAAUCAUGCAGGGUACCUCUAAUUAGGCCGGGUACCUCUAAUCAGGCCGGGUACCUUAGAUUGUGCGGGGUACCUCUAUUUGCGCAGAGUACCUUGAAUCAUGCCGGGUAUCUCAGAUUGUGCGGGGUACCUCAAAUUGUGUGGGGUACUUCUAAUCGUGCGGGGUACCUCUAAUCAUGUCGGGUACCUCGGAUUGCACUGAAGUUAUUCCAUUCGUUGACACGUGGCGUUAUGCUAUCUUUCUUAUUUUUCCCCCAAACAACAUCCCUCUAGUUUCUUUUGGCAAGAAGUUUUGGAGGCAAAAGAAACUUACAUAAAAAGUAGAAGCGACACGUGGCGAUAUGAUGUUUAGCUCGAUGGGUAACUAAAUAGAGGGCGCCUUUAGGGGUACCCUGAGAACCCAAAAAGGGAAGAUGGGCUCCAUUUCCUCGGAAAUGGCUACCACUUUGGACAUGUUGGAAAGGAUAGAGCUAAUUGAUCAAAAAAAUUUCAUCUAUUUCUGGGGAAGAACACCAAAUACGGGUAGAGGGUAUCGUUAGGGUACCCCACCAUUAUCCAUAGUUUGUUUUCUAGUGACUGACAUGUAUAAAUCGCUCUGGUGAAGGCUUCAAUACAUUCUUUGGGCAUUUAAGAAGCAAUUAUUUGAUUAUCUCGGGAUCCACCUUAUUUAAGGGUAUAUUUCCUUCAUGUACUUUGAAGACAAAAAUAAAAUCACAGGGCUUUCUUCCUUGUAACUUCAGAGGUACCCUCGACAGAAGAAUAUAGUCGACAAUGCUUUUAAGCGUAUCAUGAUCGAGGAAUGGAGUGCUGAUCUGGGGUUGGUGGUGCCAAGAGUGGAGAAGAUGGUAGAUGAACCGGCUAUCUUGAAGGCGAUUAACGAUAGCGGGGCUCUCAACACAUCUUGGUCUGAAGGGGUAAUGCAAAUAAGUUUACGUUGAUUGGAUAUUCAGAAGAAGUAAUACGCCAUUAAAAGCAACAAGUUUUCCAAAAAGCCAACAAAGACAGACACCACCACACCACCCCGCACUGGAUGAAAAACGAUGAAAGCAUGAUAAGUGGCAUCGAGUAAGCCACGUUCUCUCUCUCUCUCUCACUCGCACUCGCACUCGCACUCGCACUCGCACUCGCACACACUGUUACUAAGGUAGUGUUUACUUUCUGGAGUGGGAGUGUGGAGUGUGGAUUCCUCCCACUCCAGUGUUUACUUACCUUAAAAAUGGGGAGAGUGGGAGUGGGAAUCCGUGGGUCCCACCUAAAUUUGGAGUGGGGAGUGGGAUUCCCACUCCCAUUGGGGGAGGUGGGAGUGGGAAUCCACUCCCCCCUCUUCCCAUUUUAUCCUUAUAAAAUUAAAAUAAAUAAAUAAUAUUUAAUAAAAUAAAUAAAUAAUAUUUAAUAAAAUAAAUAAAUAAUAUUUAAUAAAAUAAAUAAUAUUUAAUAAAAUAAAUAAUAUUUAAUAAAAUAAAUAAUAUUUCAUAAAAUAAAUAAUAUCAUAUUUAUUAAAAAUAAUAAUUAUAUCAUAUUUAUUUUAUUAAAUUUAAUAAAAUAAAUAAAUAUUAUAUUUAAAUUAAUAAUAUUAAACAUUAAUUUUAAUAAAUAUUAAUUAUUUAUUUAAUUAAUAAUAAUAAAUAUUUUAUUCUAAAAAAUAUUAAUUUUGUACUAUAUUAUCAAUAAUAAUAUUUCAUUUGUGUUGCUAUUAUUAAUAAUUUUUAUUCACAUAAUUUAAAUUAAAAUUAAUAAAAAAUUAUGAUUUACAUAAUUAAGAAUAUUAGUAAUUAUUAUUAAUUUAUAAAUAUAAUAAAAUAUUUAUUUUAUUUUCCAAAUAUAUUUUUUAUUAAUUUUUUAAUUACAAAUUAUAAUUCUGUACAUAAGGAUAAAAUUGUAAUUUAAAACAAUUUACUCUCAAUCCAAGACAAAGUAAACAAAUAAUUAGGAUUCUAAUUGACAAUCCAUACUUUCAUUUAGUCUAAGUAAACACCCUACUCCCACUCCCACUCCACACUCCUAAUCCAAGGAUUCCCACUCCUCAGGAUUCCCACUCCAAUCCAAAAAGUAAACGCAGCAUAAAAUGACCAAAAAUAAGAUUCCCCUCAAAAUAUUUUCAAGUAUCGUUCUUGAAAGUGGCGGCGGCUGAUGAUGAUGAACACAGCCGCGAUUGCGAUUGGCGAAGGCGGCGUUCAGCCCGUAUCACAGAUAGUUAUCGGUCGCGGCAGAAAAGAUAAUGAAACGACGGUUGAUGAUGAUGAUGAUGAUGUUGAACAGCCGCAAAUAUGGGUAAGUGAUGCGACAAUGAUUUGAUUUGAUGAAGAUGAGCUGAAGAUGGAAUAAGAGAGGAAAUGUUUGUGCGGCUGGGAAAGUGUAAUGAGCUGCUAGGGCACCAUUUGGGUUUUUUUGCUUUCCUAUUUAUAUUAAAAAUAAUUUUUAAAAAUUAAUAUAUAUCCGGGUUCGGGUUUUGGAUGUACGGGUUUACCUAGACCCGGACACAUGCGGAUUCAGCAGCACCGACCACCCACAGACUUGGAUUCGAUUGCAAAGUUGGGACUUAGGAUUUGGGUUUGUGGCUGCUGAAACAGAAAGUGAGAGAGUAGAAAGUAGAGACUGAGAGUGGUGCAAACAUGUGUAAUUUUGUGUGUGUGUCUAUAUAUAUAUAUAUAAUGUGAAAUUACAAAAAUGCCAUUAUAUCAGUUCAAUUCGAAUUUUGUAACUUGUGAUCCAAAAACUGAACCAAACCGAACCAUUUGGUUUGGUUUUUAUAUAUUCAGGUUUUUAAUUUAAAAAAACUAAAUUGAAAUUGAAAGAACUAAACCGAACCGAAUUUUUUUUUUUUUUGUUUCGGUUCAAUUAUGCCCAUCCCUACUUAGUAGGCUGGGCAUCAAUUUCUUUGAAUUGUGCUUUCAUUGCAGUAAUCUCCUCCUUGGUAAUAGGUUUAAUUGCUUGCUGAUGCCUCCUUUCCUCUAGUAACAACUAGUCUAACAAGCCAUCAUCGUCAAACAUGUACCUAUUAUAAGCAUCAUCCAGAAUUUGCUCUCUUUGCUUUUUGCUUAGUGUCUUCUUUGCACAAGCUAUUAUCUCAGCUUUUGUAUCAAUAUCUUUAUCUUUUGAUUCACCAGAGGAUGAAUCAUCACCGGAAUAGAGUGGUGAAGGCCCCAUAGAUUAGUGUGAUCAAGUUCUAGUGUAGUUUUGGUUUUGAUUUCAGUAUUAGGAAAAUGAAGCCUAUGAAAUUUACUAAGCUAACAUGCUUCACAAAAGUGCUUUAAUACUUGAAGAGGAUAAAUGAGGAUAAAUAAAUUUAAAUAUACAUUAGAUUUUGAGGGUUGGGAUGUCAAAACUUUUGGUGAAAAAGAGUUAGUACAAGCAUUUUUAUUGAGAUUGAAAACAUUUCUUAAGAUGAUCAAUACUAGUUACAAAAUUGGAAUGAAAAAAAAAGGCAACAUAGACAAAGGUUUGUUUAUUUGAUUGUAAGAUAGAAAAGACUUGUAUUUAGGUUGUGGAAAGGAUUUGAGCAGCAAUUUAUACAACCUUUUCUCAGCAAAACCUUCCUCUUCAAUGAAUCCUUCACAAAACAAAUAGAUCCAAGAAAUUCGACAAAUAAAUUGUUGUCAAUGGUAAGUUUUGAAAUGCUCAAUAGAUUCUUUGUAAUGGAUGGAACAAACAGUACAUCCUUAAGUAAAAUAUGUCUUAUAUUAUCUUUUUUUAAUUCUUUUUUAAAAAAUAAGUGAAUAAUAGUAUGUCAAUCUCAAAUAUCAAUAUGUACAAUUUUUAUUUGUGUAAGAAUUUGCAUCCAAUAAUCAUCAAUACAUAAUUGUCUUUUAAUUGAAUGGUUCUCACCUCCCUUCCAAACUUUGAAAAGGUAAAAUAAGAUCAAUCAUGUCAGUGGCAAUUAAUAUAAAGAUUACUUUUCUUAUUUGUAGUAACGUCCUCUGAUUAUUUAGCUGAUUUUCAAGCUACACAUUUAUUCCAUUUGAUGUUGAUAUUAGUAAAAUUAAUGUAAUAUUUAAAAAGGAAAAAAAUCCGUCGAGCUAAAAGCCGAGUAUAAAAUUGAACUGGACCCAAACCAGAAACGCACGCCAACAACAUGCUUGCGUUAGUCGGCCCAUGCCCAUAAACCCACCAAGCCCGAUCCAAAUAGAAAAAUGAAUUGGACACCCGAGAUAGCAGAAACAGAUAAGUAACGGUCGUGCUAUCCCCAAUCUCAUAUCUUCAACGGUAUCCAGCCAACAUCUCAAAGUGUUCAAUUUUUUUUUAAGCCAAAAAAAAAUUCAAAAUUUUCAAGCGGAAUCUGGGAAGAUGGCGAUGAAAAGCAAGAUUCUGGUUAUCGGCGGAACCGGAUACAUCGGUAAGUACUUAAGGUGCGUUUGAAAUUGAGGUUGAACAACUAUAACUUUAAAACUGCAGCACUAAAAUAUUUGGUAAACACUAACUGUUGUAACUUAAAAGCUAUUUAAUAUAAUUUUUCAUUUGUAUAAUAAAAAAUUUAUUAUCUUUAAUAAUUUUGUCAAAAUUAUUAUUUAAAAUAUAUACAGUAAGAGAGAUUGUAACAUUUUCAAUCUUUGGUUUGAUAUUCUGGAAGAAAACGGUUUGCCGUUUACGGAGAAAAUGGCUAACCGUUUAAUUUCAUAGAGCAUGUUUUCUAUUCUAGAGAAAACGACUAACCGUUUGGAGAAAAUGGCUAACCGUUUGGAGAAAACGGCUAACCGUUUUGAGAAAACGGCUAACCGUUUAAUUCCAGAGAGCAUGUUUUCUGUUCUAAAGAAAAUGACUAACCGUUUGGAUAAAACGACCAACCAUUAAUUACAGAGAGUAACUUAUUUGACAUUCUGGAAUAAAACGGCUCACCGUUAUUGAGAAAACGGCUAACCGUUUAUUUCCAGAGAGCGUGUUUUUGCGUCAACUGGAAAAACGGUUAGCAAGCUUGGAAAUUUCAAUUGUCAAUCGAUGCAAACUCAAACCAAAAGAGUGUUUUUUAAAAGAAGUACCAUUUUUAAUGGUUGUAUUCUUUCAAAUAAACAUCUUCUUUAUUAAAGAUAGACAAACUAUUAUAUCAUAAUCAGAUUUUGCAGGUUUCAUAUAUGUUCUGGAAAUACAAUCUUAUUUUCUAGAGAUUGUAUUCAGGAUUUGAUAUAUCUUAGGGGUAAUUUGCCAUUAAAACUCUAUAGCAAACCAAGAUUGGUGAGGGCAAAUAAAACCUUAAAGAAAAGUGUGCAAACACGUCUCAAAUCCUAAGAUCUUUUCUUUGUUCUUUGCCUCCAUAUUCUUAAAAUUUGAAAAUUCACCCAUCAAUCUUUAAGGUUUUAUUUUGAUGCAAAUAGAGGCUGAGAAGAGUUUGACGCCAUUUCUUAAUCCUAGUGUCCAUCUCGAUCGUUUUGAUGGAACAAAUUUCACUCGUUGGAAGGGAAAAUUGUUCUUUCUUCUUACUGUUCUUAAAGUGACAUAUGUUCUUGAUCCGAAAUUGGAACCAUUUCCAGAACCAAGAGAAGAUGAUACCGAAGUUGUUAAGGCUGCAAGGAAACGUCGUGAAGAUGAUGAAUUGAUGUGCCGGGGUCACAUACUCAAUACGCGUUCUGACAGGUUAUAUGAUCUCUACAAUUUUAUGACUUCUCUGGUGGAAAUUUGGAAUGCUCUUAAGUACAAAUACAAAACGGAGAAAGAAGGUACUGACAAAUUCCUUGUCUCUAAAUAUUUUGAAUUUAUUAUGGUAGACACACAAUCCAUUCUUGAUCAAAUACAUGAGUUAUAAAUUAUUGUUGCUAAGCUUCGAGAGUUAAAAGUUGAAAUUUUUGAAUCAUUUCAAGUUGGGACUAUUAUUGCUAAAUUGCCUCAAAGUUGGAAUGAUUAUAGAAAGAAACUCCUUUAUAGUAAAGAGAACAUAACUUUAGAAGAAUUGCAAAAACACUUGGUAAUUGAAGAAGAGACUAGGUCUCGCGAAUCCAAGGAUAAGCAUGAUUCUACUAAAGUUAAUGUUCUUGAAGCUAGUAAAUUCUCAAAGAAUUUUAAAGUCAAGAAUGACAAGAAAUUUAAGAAGUCCAGCACACAAAAGUUUUCUGGAAAUUGUUUCUUUUGUGGUAAGAAAGGUCAUCGCCCAAGUGAUUGCAGAUUCAAGAAAAAAAAAGGAAGAAGUGAAUUCCUAUAAAGCUAAUGUUAUUGAAAACAAAUCUGAAAAGAUUUGUGCUAUGGUUUCUGAAAUGCAAAUUGGCAUGAUUAUCGAAACCAAUAUGGCUGAAACUAAGUCCUAUGAUUGGUGGCUCGAUUCGGGUACAACAAUUCAUGUUUGUAAUGAUAAGAAAUUUUUAUUAUCAUACAAAGAAGAAACGGAAGGACAAAUGGUUCUCAUGGGGAACAAUAAUGCAGCCAUAGUAGCAGGGAAAUGAGUAGUUGAGAUCAACUUCACUUCUAGAAAGAAAGUCACAUUGUAUAAUGUCUUUCAUGUACCUUUCGUUAGGAAGAAUCUUAUUUUUGCUAGUUGUAUGUGUAAGCAUGGGCUUAAGAUUGUGCUUGAGGGUAAUACUUGUAUUAUCUCAAAGAAUGAAUUAUUUGUUGGGAAAUGGUAUUCUUGUGAUGGAAUGUACAAACUCAACAUUAAUAAUAAUAAUAUCAACUUAGCUUAUAUUGUUGAGUCUUGUGAUGUUUGGCAUGCUAAAUUAGCACAUUUGAAUUUUAGAUCUUUGAAAUACAUGUCUGAGCAUGGUUUGAUUAAUUGCAAUGAUGUUAAAGGUCAUAAGUGUGAAAUCUGCAUCCAAGCUAAAUUAACUAAGAAACAUUUUCUUAAAGCCGAACGAAAUACUCAAAUAUUGGAUUUAAUAUAUACCGAUAUUUGUGAGUAUAAUGGCGUUUUAACAAGAGGAGGUAAGAAGUACUUUAUCACUUUUAUUGAUGAUUGUUCUAGAUACACUUAUGUGUAUUUACUUAGAACAAAAAAUGAAGCUUUUGAUAAAUUUAAAAUUUUCAAAGCUGAAGUUGAGAACUAAAAAGAUAAGAAAAUCAAAAUGGUUCGUAGUGAUAGAGGUGGUGAAUAUUUCUCAAUUGAAUUUAAUAAUUAUUGUGAAGAAUUUGGAAUUAUUCACCAAAGAUCAGCUCCAUUUACUCCUCAACAAAGUGGUUUGGCUAAAAGAAAGAAUAAGAUCUUCACGGAUAUGAUAAAUUCCAUGAUCCUUAAUGCAAAACUACCAAAUAAUUGGUGGGAGGAAGCAUUACUCACUGCAUGUCAUAUUCAUAACAGAAUUACAUCUUUGAAAACACAUAUAUCUCUUUAUGAAAUUUGGAAAGGAAGAAAACCAAACUUGAUGUAUUUAAGGGUCUAGGGUUGUUUAGCUUUUUAUAAAAUACAUGAUCCUAAAUCAUCAAAGUUAAGUGCUAGAUGUAUAAAGAGUGUUUUCGUAGGAUAUGCUGAAAAUUCCAAGGCUUAUAGGUUGUUAGAUUUAGAUUAUAAUGUGAUUGUGGAAUCUAGAGAUGUUGAAUUUAUUGAGAAUAAAUUUCAACAUGAUUCUAAUAUUGAAUUAGAAUCAAUUAUUGAUCAACCAUGUGUUAAUACUCCUGUUACCUCCACUAACAAUAAUAAAAGGAAAGACUCUAUGACAUCUUUCGAACCAAUGAGGAGUCAAGGUGAAAAGAAAGAAAAGAGUUUAGCUCCGAAUUUUAUUUCAUCACAAGCACUGCUCUUCUUGGUUGAAGGGGAUAGAAAGAAUGUACUUAACAAAGUACCAUUGUUGUUAAAUAUUGAAAAAGAUCCAAAGACAUUUAGCGAAGCUAUGUCUUCUAGAGACGCUUCUUUUUGGAGAGAGGCGGUAAAUGAUGAAAUUGAUUCGAUUAUUUCGAAUCAAACAUGGGUCUUGGUUGAUCUUCCUCUAGGAUCUAAACCAAUUAGCAGCAAAUGGGUAUUUAGAAGAAAGUACAAUAGUGAUGGUUCUUUGCAAACUUUUUAGGCUAGAUUAGUAGCCAAAGGGUUUAAGCAAAGAAAUGGUAUUGGUUAUUUCGAUACAUAUGCUUCGGUAGCAAGGUUAACUUCUAUAAGAGUGCUAUUUGCAAUUGCUUCAUUGAAUAAUUUGUAUGUGCAUCUAAUGGAUGUUAAAACCGCUUUUCUUAAUGGUGAUCUUGAUGAAGAAAUCUAUAUGGAACAACCUGAGGGAUUUGUUUUACCAGGAAAUGAGAAAAAAGGUAUGCAAGUUAGUCAAAUCACUUUAUGGUUUAAAGCAAGCACCAAAACAAUGGCAUGAGAAGUUUGAUUCGGUAAUUUUAUCUCAUGGUUUUAAGCAUAAUAAUGCUGAUAAAUGUAUAUAUUUUAAAUUUACGAAUGAUUUUGGUGUGAUUAUAUGCUUGUAUGUUGAUGACUUGCUUAUCUUUGGAACAAAUAUGCAAGGAGUAGAUGAUACAAAGAAGUAUUUAACUUCACAAUUUAAGAUAAAAGAUCUUGGUGAAGUAGAUACUAUCUUAGGUGUCAAAGUGAAGAAACAUAGUGGGGGUUACUCGUUGUGUCAAUCUCAUUAUAUAGAGAAAGUGCUUCUUAAAUUCAAUUAUUUGAAAUUUAAAGAAGCUAAUACCCCAUAUGAUUCUAGUAUUAAAUUAUUAGAGAAUUCAGGCCGAGUAGUAGCACAACUAGAAUAUGCUAGUGCUAUUGGUAGCUUGAUGUAUGCUAUGCAUUGUACGAGGCCUGAUAUAGCAUUUGCAGUUUGCAAAAUGUCAAGAUUCACGAGUAACCCUAGUGUUGAACACUGGAAAUCAAUUGGUAGAAUACUUGGUUAUCUUAAAAGGACCAUUAAUUUGGGUUUGUUUUAUAAUGAUUAUCCUGAAGUACUGGAAGGAUAUUCAGAUGCUAGUUGGGUAACCAAUAUAAGAGAUAAUAAAUCCACUUCUGGUUGGAUUUUUACAAUUGCUGGAGGAGCAGUUGCUUGGGCUUCAAAGAAACAAACGUACAUAACUCAUUCAACAAUGGAAAGUGAGUUUAUAGCACUCGCAGUUGCAAGCAAGGAAGUAGAAUGGCUGAGAAAUUUGUUGUUUGAUAUAAUGUUAUGGCCACAACCGAUGCCAUCUAUUUCUUUGUACUGCGAUAGUGAAGCUACAUUGUCUAGAGCUUAUAAUAAAGUGUAUAAUGGAAAGUCUAGACAUAUUAGCUUGAGACAUGAAUAUGUGAAACAAUUAAUAGCAGAUGGUGUUAUUAAUAUUGUUUAUGUUAGGACUAAUAAGAACCUAGCGGAUCCUUUAACAAAAGGUCUUACAAGAGACUUAGUUAAGGAUACAUCUUUUGGAAUGGGAUUGAAACCUUUAAAUAAUAAAGUCACCAACGACGAUAACCCAACUAUGUAGUAGUUGCACCGCUACUCCAUAGUUAAAUGGAUAAUAACAAGUUGUUGUUAUGUGACUGGUUUGGCACCGAGUAAUAAAUAAUCACAUUCGAGAUAUUCGGUGCAAAUAGCUACGAGGUUGAGGUUGAGUAUUUACUCUUAAUGAAGUUCAAGUCUUAUACUAGCUAAAGACAUGAUUUGAAACUUCACCUAAGUGAACAUAAGAAAUGGUGCCGUUUCUAACAAGAUCAUGGUUUAAUCUAGUAAAUGUUCAUGAAUCCAAGAUAGAGCACAAGGCCGGAAUAGUGCUAAAUAUUGGAACACAACUUUGAAAAUCUGGGAUAGCUUAUAUGUGAUGUAUCUCCGGUAUUUACUUAAGAGACAAAGUUUAAUGCUUAGCACACUAUUGUUUUGUAAAUGCUUUGAAAUACACUCACUAAUUAAAGGUUAAAAUCGAAAGAUAUCUUUUUGUAUGUAUAAGUUUAUCAUUAAUAAAUAUGAAAAAUAUUACAAUCUAGUGGGGGAUUGUAAGAGAGAUUGUAACAUUUUCAAUCUUUGGUUUGAUAUUCUGGAAGAAAACGGUUUGCCGUUUAUGGAGAAAACGACUAACUGUUUAAUUCCAAAUAGCAUGUUUUCUAUUCUAGAGAAAACGACUAACUAUUUGGAGAAAAUGGCUAACUGUUUAAUUUUAGAGAGCAUGUUUUCUGUUCUAGAGAAAACGGCUAACCGUUUGGAUAAAACGGCCAACCGUUAAUUACAGAGAGCAACUUAUUUGACAUUCUGGAAUAAAACGGCUCACCGUUAUUGAGAAAACGGCUAACCAUUUAUUUCCAGAGAGCGUGUUUUUGCGUCAACUGGAAAAACGGUUAGCAAGCUUGGAAAUUUCAAUUGUCAAUCGAUGCAAACUCAAACCAAAAGAGUGUUUUUUUAAAGAAGUACCAUUUCUAAUAGUUGUAUUCUUUCAAAUAAACAUCUUCUUUAUUAAAGAUAGACAAACAAUUAGAUCAUAAUCAGAUUUUGCAGGUUUCAUAUAUGUUUUGGAAAUACAAUCUUAUUUGCUAGAGAUUGUAUUCAGGAUUUGAUAUAUCUUGGGGGUAAUUUGCCAUUAAAACUCUAUAGCAAACCAAGAUUGGUGAGGGCAAAUAAAACCUUAAAGGAAAGUGUGCAAACACGUCUCAAAUCCUAAGAAUUGUUUUUUGUUCUUUGUCUCCAUAUUCUUAAAAUUCGAAAAUUCACCCAUCAUAUACAUACUACAUAUUAUUAAUUUUUGUUUUAUAACUAUAGUUUUUUUUUUACCGCAACUGUAGUUUAAAAACUGCAGCACCUCAAUCCCAAAUAAGACCUUAGUAGAAGUGAGCGCGAAAGCCGAUCACCCAACAUUCGAGCUUGUGAGAGACUCCACUCUCUCCACUCCUUCCAAAUCCAAAAUCCUCGACCGUUUCAAAAAUCUCAGCGUCAAUUUAGUUCAUGUGCGCCACUCUUUUAGCUUUCCAAUUUUCCCGCCAAUUUUCUUUUAUUGUGAUUAAUUAAUUAAUUAAUGUAAAGAUUUUAUAUUAUAAUUUUGUUUGCAGGGAGAUCUAUACAGCCAUGAGAGCUUGGUGAGUACAAUAAAGCAAGUGGAUGUGGUGAUAUCAGCGAUAGGUCGCACUCAAUUAGCUGAUCAACUCAACAUUAUCGCAGCAAAUUGCGAUAACUAAGUACUUGGGAUUUUAAAGAAGCUGGAAAUGUUAAGGUUCUGAUUAACUUAAGUAAAUGCGUUAACUAAUUACUUGGGAUUUUAAAUUCAAAUGUGUGAAUUGUUCUAAAAAAUUAUUUAUGUUUAUUAGUCAGAGAUUCUUUCCUUCAGAAUUUGGAAAUGAUGUUGAUCGCGUGCAUGUCGUUGAGCCAGCAAGAACAUCAUUUGCCACCAAGGCUAAAAUCCGCCGAGCUGUUGAGGAUGAAGGAAUUCCAUACACCUACGUAGCUUCCAAUUUCUUCGCUGGUUUGUAUCUUUCCAGUUUCUCACAGCCUGAAGCCACAGCUCCUCCAAGGGAUAAAGUGGUCAUCGUAGGUGAUGGAAAUGCAAAAGGCAAAGCGCUUCUGGAUACAUUUACUCUGUACACGCAAUGUGUGGUUACUGUUUGGAGAUAAAAAAGGAGAUUAAUUAAUAAAGAAAAUGAAAUUAUUGAGGGAUUUGCUGAAGAGUUGCGUGCACUCCUCAUUUUUCUCCACCACUCAUCUUACUUGCAAAAUGCAAUGACCAAACUAUCCUCGCCAAAGCCUAGACAUUUACUUGUGUUCAAAGGCCAUUUAAGGGAGACAAGUACAAAAAGUUAUAAAGGAUAGUAAGCAGAAGAAGAAAAUGGAAAGGGGAGGGGGGGGGGGGGAGAAAGAAAAAAGGGAAUGGGGCGUUAUCUAGGGAGGAAUUUUAUUUUUAUUUUUUUUUCUCUCUUUCUCCCACUAAGAAAUUCUUUCUUUUACACUCUAUUUUACUUUUAUGUAAAUUAUGCAAAAAACUUUUGAUUUUAAGGCAAUGUUUAUUAAGCCACGUGAAUUUGAAAAAGCAUGAAUAAGGGGAUGAUUUUAACACAUUAAUUCACCAACAUUAAUUGGAAAAGAUCAGUUGCCACUUCGAAUCAGAGUAAUUUCUUCGGCAAUAGCCAAAUAUUGAUAUUUGAUCUUGACACUGUAGUUAAAUCAAUGUAACUGAUUUUGUCAUUUGAUCCCCAGUAAUUUUUAACAAGGAAGACGAUAUUGGAAUUAAUUCUAUCAAAGCGGUGGAUGAUCCAAGAACACUGAACAAAAUACUUUACAUCAGACCCCGUUGCAAUAUCUACUCAUUUAAUGAUCUUGUGUCUCUGUGGGAGGAAAAGAUUGGCAAAGCCCUUGACAGGGUCUAUGUUACAGAGGAACAACUUCUGAAAAACAUUCAAGGUUAGUUAGAACUAUCACUUUAUCAAGUGGAUAGAUGUAACUGACCGAUAAUGGAAAUUUUUUUCCUUCUCCAAAAUGCGAUAGAAUCUAAUCGGUUUCAACAAUCUCAAGAACACCUAUUCAUGGUUGUGUUGUUUGAAAUCUGUAUGUAUCAGUUUUCUUUCUAGAUCUCAGAUUGCUCGCAAGGAUGUCAAGUUUUGAUGAUGCUUGCCUGUUUUCCUGUGUUUACAGAAGCUUCAUAUCCACUCAAUAUGAUAUUACCUAUUGGGCACUCUGCCUAUGUCCUGGGAGAUCAGACCAACUUCGAAAUUGAACCUUCAUUUGGAGUAGAGGCAACAGAGCUUUAUCCAGAUGUCAACUACACUACUGUGGAUGAGUACCUCAACCAGUUCAUAUAAACCUUCUGAGAUGAGCAGCAGGAUCCUAACAAAAAAUUGGGUGGUUUCCAUCCCUGAUUCUAUGGUAUAAAGAUAGCGGCUUUCCCUGCUUUUGCCAGUUCAGUGAAGUUUGUUAGAUGAUGUUAUUUAUACUAUACUAGCAAAGAUCAAGUUGCCUUUCUUGUCAAGAAGCCAAGCUCUGGCAUUGGUUUAUGCUAGUUUUUCACACUAAUAUUGGUAUUCACUAAUUUUUUUUUUCAUUUCACACCUCCAUCAUCAGUGGAGAUGCCCUCUUGUAUGGUACUAACUUUGAUUUUCCUUAUGCUUCACUUGCUGUCUCUGCAGAUUCGUAAAAGAUCAUUCAUGGAUAAGAUCAGAACAUCAAUAUGAUACAGUAUGCAUUGAGAACUCCCACAUGAUUCUUGUUCUAGUUCUGGUUAGACAUGAAACAUGUUACAGUUCCAUAACUUGAGACAUUGUCAUUCAACAAUUAUCAUCACAUUAAAACAGUGGCCAAUCCCUAACAGCUACCUUUUGACUCUUCACAUUUUUUUUCUGCAUUUUAUGCGCAUUAAUUAUCUAGACCUAGACUUAUUACACUUCUCAGCCUGGCCCGUUGGACAGUGAGUGAUGAAACAAAUUUUUUUUCAUGUUUAUUACUUUUUUUGCAUUCAAAAUGAUAAAACUGCAGAGGUUGUUGCAUGCACGUCAUUUGUUAGUAGGGGUAUCAAUUUAUGAACGUAUGAAGUAUCUCUUCUGCACCGGCAUCCUCCUUAACUGUCAGUAGGAUCACAAUAAGUCGACCAACCAUCUACCGUAUGGAUUAUCUAUAAAUUGAAAUUGGUGUGUAUUAUGGAUCUGUCACUCUGCUGUUUCUGUUUUCUUUUCUAUUUUUACCAAGAAAGAAACAUUGUUAAAACUGAAUGGUUGUUAUCUCGUCUUGUUGUAAUGUUGUGUAUGCUUUCUAGAAAAUAAUGAAGUGCCAAAUAUGAAAAUACUAGUGGCUACCUUACCAUCCUUAAUAAGUUGUCUGAUUGUCACCGUCAACAAUCACUCUCAGCAACUCAUAAUCCAUUUAAGCAUAUUAUAAAAUAAUCAAUUUUGUAUUUGCACCAACUUUUAGUUUUAAAUGACAAUUUCGUUGAUCCCCACACUUCUGUACUAAUCAAAUCCACUGAAACUGGACUUUUUUUUCUUUUUUUUUAUAAUUACAUCGAUUGCAUUGGCUAUUGCAGGGAAAAGACUGCCUCUACAGGGAACUAAACUUUCAGAAUUGUUCUUAUGAGGGUUUGAAUAUGCUCUCGUACUAGGUCAAUGGCCUAUUGGUUCGAGACCAUUCACAAAGAAAGAAAUGAGUUUUGCUUGUAUAAAUGAAAGAAAUCCAAAUGAUAACUAAUGUAUAGUGGUACAUGAGAAAAAUAAUUUCAGCCCCUGUGUAAAGUCAAAAAGAGAAAAUAUUAAAAGAAAGGAUAAUGUCAUUGAGUUCGGUGAAGUGAAAGAAAAUGAAAAACAUGGGAUUUAGUCAAACUUAGUGUCCCAAUCAGCAGAAAAAGGUUUUAGAAACUCACCUCAAGUUAAGCCAACUAUUAGGAGCUUUAUUUAAUCAUGGCUUUCUAAUGUAUAGUACUCCAAUACUAAACGAGGGCUACCUCUACGCUUGCAAAUGUAAAUGAAAUUGAGUUCGUGACGCACAAUGAAGUGAGCAAAAUGAGUUGAGAUCUGAGAAUAUAUUAAAGAAAAUAUGAAUCAAUGAAUUUUGGUUAAAAAAAACAAAUGCUGGUUCUUCAAGACCUGCGUGUAUUGUGUAAGUUUUGUUAGGAGAAGGAAAGCAUUUUGGUCUAAAACGCACUAAAUCGGAUUCAUUUGCUUGAUAUCUAAUAAGGGUGAAUUAACCACUCGCCCACAGCAAUUCAAGUCCCCAAAAAAGUAUUGUGGGGGCUAAAUUUCUUCUUUAAUUAUAACAAAUAAUUGAGCGGAGGAUAAAAAUUUAGGCCAUGUAUAACAAUAACUAAUAUAAACUAGUCCUAAUAAUAGUAUAAUUGUAAAUAUCAGUUAUAGUCUCAUACAAUAUAAGUUUAUAGAUUAUAAUAUCGGCAUAAAAAGAAAAAUGAUAUCUGAGGGUCAAUCAAUAAAAGGACAAAAACUUGGAGUAACAUACCACAAAGUCAAUGUAGCUGGACAGAUGAAUAUAAUAUGUAAACAAAUUUAAAUGGGAUAAUACCAUACGGUACAUACAUAACAUUUUAAAACUGAAUUAAAAAAAUAAAAUUAAAACUGAAUUGGAAUUCGUAUGUGUAUCCAGCUACCUUGCCACAGUUGUAAGGUACCCUAACUUUGCAACAAUUUCAUCCUUCGUGCAUUCGGUCACAAAGUCCAAAUUAGGCACGUUUAAGAAUCGAACUGAAAAACUAAAAAAAAGAAUCCGGCGAUAUUUGCGAACCGGAAACGAGCCAGCGUUAUGCUUAUGUCAUUUCAGAGAUAUCAACAGUCGUGCUUUCAGUCCUUAAACCUCAAGGGCAUUUUCGUCCUUUCACUCAAGCGUGAAACUGCAUGUAAGAACUGCUUCGCUUACACGCUCCAUGCACAUUUAAAGGCACCACUGUCGGAUAAAAAAUAUCCAUCCAUUUGAUCAUUUCAAAACAAAACGAAAAAAAAAAUCUCAGUAAUUGAACUGAACGAGUCUCAGAAAUGGCAUCGAAAAGUAAGAUUCUAUUCAUCGGCGGGACAGGGUAUAUCGGUAAAUUCACUGUCGAAGCGAGCGUAAAAGCCGGCCACCCGACGUUCGUGCUCGUGAGAGAAUCCACAAUCUCUGGUCCUUCCAAAUCUCAACUCCUCGAUCACUUCAAAAACCUCGGCGUCAAUCUCGUCAUAGUGCGUUUUCAUUUUUCUCUUUUCUUAAUUUUUUAUUCCGAUCAUUUUUACACGUCGAAGUGUAGCAUCUACUACUUAAUAUACAUAAUGAUAUUAUUAUUUUUUAAUUUUUUUUGGUUGCUGUUAUUAUUAUGCAGGGAGAUGUGUUGAAUCACGAGAGUUUGGUGAAGGCGAUUAAACAAGUGGACGUGGUGAUAUCAACGGUCGGUCACACUUUAUUAGCUGAUCAGGUCAAGAUUAUUGCUGCCAUUAAAGAAGCCGGUAACGUUAAGGUAUAACAUAAUUAAUAUAAAUAUCUUGAAUUCCGAUCAGGAUUGUGCACUCGCGAACACGUGGUGAUUUAUUCUUGGUGUGGAGCUCGCUGUAGAGUAGAGCUCCCAGUUCAGCUAAUAAACACCCCGUCACAUGCGCAAUUGCGCCUCAAAAUAAUUUAAUUGAUUAAUUAAGGAUAAAUACCAAUGGCAUGAAAGCAAUUAAAAUUAGUUGAUGUUUAUAAAUUAUUUAUUACUCAGAGAUUCUUACCAUCGGAAUUUGGAAAUGAUGUUGAUCGAGUCGAAGGCGCCGUAGAGCCAACAAAAUCGACGUAUGACGUAAAGGCGAAAAUCCGCCGAGCCGUUGAGGCAGAAGGCAUUCCGUACACUUACGUAGAAUCUUAUUGUUUUGAUGGCUAUUUCCUCCCCAAUUUGUUGCAGCCUGAGGCCACUGCCCCCCCUAGGGAUAAGGUUGUCAUCUUAGGCGAUGGAAAUCCAAAAGGUAAUAUAAUUUAAUUAAGCUCUGUUUGUUUGGUAUGUAUUGCGGUGUUAAUGUUAUUGUCUGUUGUACAAUGGAUGGUCUUGCUUGGUACUGUUGUUGGAGAGCUGCAGUGUUUUGAUAAACACCUCUAUCCUUAGCUUUCAAGUUAAGUUGAUUUUAUACAACACUUGUUUAAUUCAAAACUUGUAAUAUUCUUACUACUUUGAUAAAAAAAUAUUACGAUUAAAGCAUUAAUGGCACCAUAAUACGAAAUGAAUCUUAAGUGGUCAUUAUAGAUUUUAAGAUAGAGUUUUAAGUGAUUACCAGAUACUUUAGCUGCUGAACCGCCACAUCAUGGUUGCCACACAACAAUUUCAAACAGAACCUAAAUAACUUCAUUGCAAAACAGUUAAAUGAAUCUAACUUAGUUUCGUCGUUUGAUUUUCAGCUGUUUUUAACAAGGAAGAUGAUAUUGGAACCUACACUAUCAAAGCGGUUGAUGAUCCGAGAACCUUGAACAAAAACUUUUACAUUCAGCCUCCCGGUAAUAUUUACUCAUUCAAUGAUCUUGUGUCUCUGUGGGAGAGAAAGAUUGGUAAAACCCUCGAAAAGGAGUAUGUUUCAGAGGAGCAGCUCCUAAAGAAUAUUCAAGGUUGGUUAAAACUCUCUUUUUUAAAUGUAUUAAAGAGAGCCGUAUAUUCUCUGCCGUAAAUGUCAUUGAUCCUGUCUUCUCCAAAAUGUUGCAGAAGCUGCACCUCCACACAAAGUGAUAUUAUCAAUUUAUCACUCUGCUUUCGUGAAGGGAGUUCAAACCAACUUCAAGAUUGAACCAUCUUUUGGAGUUGAAGCCUCGCAGCUUUAUCCUGAUGUCAAGUACACUACAGUUGAUGAGUACCUCAAUCAGUUUGUGUAACCCUUCGCUGUUUCCAGCUGCAGCUUGCAGGAUCUUGGACUGUUGGUAAAUAAAUAAUUGGCUUGUUGCCAUCUUUGGUUUUAUAUGUAAAAAUUAUGGUUGUUGGCCUUACUUUCUUCUGGUUGUCCAUGGAAUUUGUUAGACCAUAUUAUGUUUGCUAUGUCAG
RNAcentral lists this long non-coding RNA (20589 nucleotides) under Citrus x clementina. RNAcentral describes it as "Citrus clementina (C. clementina) long non-coding RNA (CCLE_LNC000810)". The record is from RNAcentral. Lineage: Eukaryota; Viridiplantae; Streptophyta; Magnoliopsida; Sapindales; Rutaceae.